ACCGCAAUAGUUCAGCUGAUAGAGCAUCUUCCCGGUAAGUGGAACGUCGCUGGUUCGUUUCCAGCUUGCGGCG
RNAcentral lists this transfer RNA (73 nucleotides) under Fasciola hepatica (liver fluke). It matches the Rfam family "tRNA". From Rfam's summary of the family: Transfer RNA (tRNA) molecules are approximately 80 nucleotides in length. Lineage: Eukaryota; Metazoa; Platyhelminthes; Trematoda; Plagiorchiida; Fasciolidae. The record is from Rfam by way of RNAcentral.